CUUUGCAAUGUGCGAAAGCACGACAAGGUUAAUCCGAGUGGUUUCUGCUAAAGGAACCUUUUGACAGUCCUAGAAACACUGUUGAAUAAGGGGUGGGCAAGUUCUGGUGUCAGCCGCCGCGGUAAAACCAGCACCUCAAGUGGUCAGGAUGAUUAUUGGGCCUAAAGCAUCCGUAGCCGGCUCUGUUAGUUUUCGGUUAAAUCUGUACGCUCAACGUACAGGCUGCCGGGAAUACUGCAGAGCUAGGGAGUGGGAGAGGUAGACGGUACUCGGUAGGAAGGGGUAAAAGUACCUUUGUAUCUAUUGAUGACCACCUGUGGCGAAGGCGGUCUACCAGAACACGUCCGACGGUGAGGGAUGAAAGCUGGGGGAGCAAACCGGAUUAGAUACCCCCGGUAG
This 399-nucleotide ribosomal RNA is filed under the name uncultured Nitrososphaerota archaeon. RNAcentral describes it as "bacterial SSU rRNA". It matches the Rfam family "Archaeal small subunit ribosomal RNA", at positions 348 to 744 of the family's 1478-position model. The record is from RNAcentral. Lineage: Archaea; Thermoproteati; Nitrososphaerota.